AGCUCCAAUAGCGUAUAUUAAAGUUGUUGCAGUUAAAAAGCUCGUAGUUGGAUUUCUGGCAGGGAGUGAGGACCCGCACGCAGCGUGGCGCCUCCUCUCCCUACCAUCCUUCUGUUAAACCGUCGGGUCUUCACCGACCAGGCGGCGGCUCAGAUAAUUUACCUUGAGAAAAUUAGAGUGUUUCAGGCAGGCCGACGCCGGGAUACAUUAGCAUGGAAUAAUGGAAUAGGACUGUCGCCUCUUCUGUUGGUCUGAGGGGUGGCCGUAAUGAUUAAUAGGGAUAGUUGGGGGCAUUAGUACUUAACUGUCAGAGGUGAAAUUCUCGGAUUUGUUAAAGACUAACUUAU
Molecule: ribosomal RNA, 347 nt
Filed under: uncultured eukaryote
Lineage: Eukaryota
Description: SSU rRNA
Rfam family: Eukaryotic small subunit ribosomal RNA
Source: RNAcentral